UUGGCCUGUACCUGUGUGAAUUUCAAGCAAAAAACAAUGCACUACAGAAAAAAGUUGUUUUAAAGCUGGCAGACAAUAAAAGUACAGUUGCCAAAGAUGUAUACAGAGAACAAAGCACAUUUAAAGAUGAUGCGUCCAAAACAUAUGUAUCAGUUACAUCCAAGACUAACAAUGCUGAUCCAACAACACUGCUGAAUGAUAUAAGUACACAAAGUAAACAGGGGUUGCACUCGGAAAUAUCAGCAGGCAUACCAGUUCAUCCAGUAUUAAUUUACGUCAUCGUGUGUAUCAGUUGCAUAUGUUUUCUGUGUUUGCUACAAACGGCAAGAUAUACUUUUUAUAAAUGCAAACAUAGCUGAUGAUUUAUAGAUACCUUCAGAAACCAGUUUAAAAAAUGAACAUUUGCAGAACACUUUUAGUUACUUAUACUAUUUUUGAAAAAUGAAUAUCUGUUGUUUAUAUCACGAAUAUGUUUUGAACUGAGCCUUGUAUUUAUUGUAUCUUCGUUAAUAAGGAUGUAAAAGGAUGGAUAUGUUUGUCUUUCAACUACGCUUACUUU
Long non-coding RNA from Mytilus trossulus (common blue mussel), 559 nucleotides. RefSeq lists it as uncharacterized. The record is from RefSeq and is a predicted model, not a curated record. The transcript is spliced from 5 exons. Lineage: Eukaryota; Metazoa; Mollusca; Bivalvia; Mytilida; Mytilidae.